This is a long non-coding RNA of Zingiber officinale, 764 nucleotides long. RefSeq lists it as uncharacterized. Lineage: Eukaryota; Viridiplantae; Streptophyta; Magnoliopsida; Zingiberales; Zingiberaceae. The transcript is spliced from 2 exons. The record is from RefSeq and is a predicted model, not a curated record.
GUGCCGAACUUUUCCCUCUCUGUUCGCGAAUUGCAGGGCGCGGCUAGGGCAUCGACUCCCCACACCGCCUCUCUUCCACUUCUCAACUCCGGCCGGCGGCUUAUUUUCUUCUCUUCACCGCCGCCGGCCGGCCAUCCACAGCCACCCUUCUUCUUGAUUUCCAGCGGCGAGCGGCAGCAGCACAGUGGCGGGAGCAGCAGGUUUCGGCAGCGAUUUCCGACCAACUCCACCUCACCGGAGGGGUUCUCCGGUGAGACCUCCACACUCCGGCAGCCUUCUGACAGCUCUUCAUCUGGGGUUCAGGCGGUGCAGCAAGGAGGCAGCCGGCAGUAGUCCAUCCACCAUUUCCAGCCAUUUCCAGCGAAGGGGUUCUUCGUUGGAAGAUUCGUAGUCAUCCAUUGUCGGUGUCGAAGCUAGCAGCAAGUCCAUCAGAGUGCUACUGUUCACUGGCUCUUGGGGGUUCCGGAGCCGGGUCUUCGUGUGACGACGAAAAUAGUUGUUGGUUAGCAGGUAGAGGAUGUGUUGUGUCACUCAGAAGUCCUGACUGUCAGACCCACUUGAGUUGGAUUCAUCUUGUACGAGUCAUUUGAUUUAUUUUUUCCGCUGUCUUUAUUUAUGGUUGUAUUUCCUAGUCGAAUCUUUGAGUUUCAUUAUAAUAGUUUAAUUAUUUAGUUUAGUAUGAUUACAUGUAUAUGCAUACAUAUACGCAUUAGUUGUUAUGAGUUGUGAUUUUUAUAUUGCAUUGGAGUUUGUAUUGGCUUGAA